CUGAGUUCUAAGUUCUAAAUUCUAACACGCUAAUCCAAAAGCACACUUGAUAAUUGAUACUGUGACAGUAUGGAGAAGAAGAAGCAGAACGAGAUUUGCAGAAUGAAAGCGCCUUCCUCUGUUCAUUCUACUCCGCAGUAGCAAAGCCACAACAGUGUGAAUCCGUGACAAAACUCAGUGGGAGGAGAAGGUGAAGGUUUAAGAAAAGUAAUGAGUACUUGCUUGCUCGAGAUGCAUGCCAAGGUGCAAGUUUCUACAUUUGGCCAUGCAGUUUCUUGAAGCUGUUCACCAGACAAGGUUCAUUUUUUUAUAACCCUUGUAUAUAUACUAUCUUCCGGUUAGAUGUUCAUAUUGUCUCAAGUUACCAUGUUUUUGCAUUGUGUCUUCCUGAAACUGAAGUUGCAAUUAUCAUUUCAUUGUUUUGUGUCAGUGAAAAAUGUUGGUAUUGAUGUAAUAUUAAGCACACACUAUUGAAUAACUUACUUCAAAAAUUUCUAUUUUACUGAUUCAGUUGUUAAAAGCAUAAUACAAUAGACAAGAAAGCUUUCUAAAUCUGAAUAACAAAACAAGCAUCGAAGAGGAAUACAAAAGAAAUUCCAGCACUAAAUUAAUAACCAUCCAUACAAAAGGUUAACAAAUAGAAUGCAGACUUUCAAAGAAAGGCCUUAGUUCAACUUGAGGGA
This is a long non-coding RNA of Arachis duranensis, 683 nucleotides long. RefSeq lists it as uncharacterized. Lineage: Eukaryota; Viridiplantae; Streptophyta; Magnoliopsida; Fabales; Fabaceae. The record is from RefSeq and is a predicted model, not a curated record. The transcript has 3 exons.